This 478-nucleotide ribosomal RNA is filed under the name uncultured bacterium. Its description in RNAcentral is "partial 16S ribosomal RNA". It matches the Rfam family "Bacterial small subunit ribosomal RNA", at positions 28 to 507 of the family's 1533-position model. The record is from RNAcentral.
GAUGAACGCUAGCGGCAGGCUUAACACAUGCAAGUCGAGGGGUAUUUAUCUUCGGAUAGAGAGACCGGCGCACGGGUGCGUAACGCGUAUGCAAUCUACCUUUUACAGAGGGAUAGCCCAGAGAAAUUUGGAUUAAUACCUCAUAGUAUAUAGACUCGGCAUCGAGAUUAUAUUAAAGUCACAACGGUAAAAGAUGAGCAUGCGUCCCAUUAGCUAGUUGGUAAGGUAACGGCUUACCAAGGCUACGAUGGGUAGGGGUCCUGAGAGGGAGAUCCCCCACACUGGUACUGAGACACGGACCAGACGCCUACGGGAGGCAGCAGUGAGGAAUAUUGGACAAUGGGCGCAAGCCUGAUCCAGCCAUGCCGCGUGCAGGAUGACGGUCCUAUGGAUUGUAAACUGCCUUUAUACGAGAAGAAACACUGCUACGUGUAGCAGCUUGACGGUAUCGUAAGAAUAAGGAUCGGCUAACUCCGUG